AAACUUACCUGGUAGGGGAGAUACCAUGAUCAUGAAGGUGGUUUUCUAGGGUGAGGCUUAUUCAUUGCACUCCAGAUGUGCUGACCCCUGCGAUUUCCCCGAAUUCAGGAAACUCGACUGCAUAAUUUGUGGUAGUGGGGGACUGUGUUCAUGCUCUCCCCUG
RNAcentral lists this small nuclear RNA (163 nucleotides) under Castor canadensis (American beaver). RNAcentral's name for it is "U1 spliceosomal RNA (ENSCCNG00000012969.1)". It matches the Rfam family "U1 spliceosomal RNA". Rfam says of the family: U1 is a small nuclear RNA (snRNA) component of the spliceosome (involved in pre-mRNA splicing). Lineage: Eukaryota; Metazoa; Chordata; Mammalia; Rodentia; Castoridae. The record is from Rfam by way of RNAcentral.